RNAcentral lists this transfer RNA (75 nucleotides) under bacterium HR36. RNAcentral describes it as "tRNA-Arg". It matches the Rfam family "tRNA". Rfam says of the family: Transfer RNA (tRNA) molecules are approximately 80 nucleotides in length. Their secondary structure includes four short double-helical elements and three loops (D, anti-codon, and T loops). Further hydrogen bonds mediate the characteristic L-shaped molecular structure. tRNAs have two regions of fundamental functional importance: the anti-codon, which is responsible for specific mRNA codon recognition, and the 3' end, to which the tRNAs corresponding amino acid is attached (by aminoacyl-tRNA synthetases). tRNAs cope with the degeneracy of the genetic code in two manners: having more than one tRNA (with a specific anti-codon) for a particular amino acid; and 'wobble' base-pairing, i.e. permitting non-standard base-pairing at the 3rd anti-codon position. The record is from RNAcentral.
GCCCCCGUAGCUCAGCAGGAUAGAGCGGCGGUUUCCUAAACCGCAGGUCGCAGGUUCGAAUCCUGCCGGGGGUAC